AGCAGUGGUAGCAAGACAGAGUUACGGGAAUUCUUCCAUCCUAUGGAGUGAGCAACGCAAAUGGGAGCCUAUGCCUUUGUAAUUUGUGGUGUUUUUACUUCCCCCAUCGGGCUGUGAGGAUAAUACCUACAAGACAUAUUCUGGGAGUUGUUCCAUGCAAGAUUCCAAUAUAGGGCUGCACUGUUUACAUUUACUACAAAUUUGUAUGCACAAGAGAGCUCAGCAUGGGAACAAAAACCUCUCUCUGAAGGCUUUCUGUAAAACUAAUUGAACGUAAUGUUCCCCAUAAUAACAGGGGAAAAACAGAAAUCUUUUUAAAGGGCAAAGUAUCUCAAAAAGUUUGCGUGAAACUUCUAUUUUCUAAUACCACAGGCAGUGUUAAACAAGUAUCUUAAAUGAAAAUGCUUCUUGAAAAUGCAUGCUUCGUAUAGGCGAGGCCCAUCAAGUCCAGCUAAUUAAUCUCUCUGUGGACCAUGGAAAAGGCAGUAUGGAAAUUCAGUAUGCACAGGAAAUGAAGCUGUAGAAAGUCGCACUGCAAUGCGAGUGCCACAUUUUAAAAACUACCCCGCUUUCCUUGAACGCGGCUGUAUUCACCGCUGGUCCACAAACACUAUGGGCCAAAUGAAAAUCUGCUGCUUAUUGAUCAGAUUAUAUAUGGUGAGAAGAGAAUGGCCAGGAGAAAAAGAAGUAGGAAGGAAGGGAAAUAUUUGAGAUCAAUAGCACUGAACAGAGAGAGUCCAAAAAGAACAAGUGAGGAGUGACUCGUGUACCUGCAGCAAACCCAUCUUGCAAAGCAAACAUGGCAGAGUAGUGUUUUCCAACACUGACGCUAAACACUUUGAGAGACAGUUAAAGUGUUUUUAAAAAAAAUCACAUGUAAUUAAGGAUUUUUAUAGUGUUAUCAGUUGAGCUGCCUCCUAGCCGCAGAGAACUAGGCACCAUCUAUUCAUUUCAGAGCUGCAAAGAAGAUGCCUUCUGGAGACCAUGAUUUUAUCUCCUGGCACAGGUUAGCCUUAUAUAAAUCUUAAUCCUUGCUUUAAACUAAUCCCAAAUUACCCAUGAAAUUUAGAAGAAUUUUGUACUAGAAGACAGCCUUGGUGAUAAUUUUGUGAUAAGCAAGACAAAGCCUUUGGAGCAGCAAGUUUUCCGGCGAGCUGGAUGAUUUCACUGUUAAAACUUGCUAACUGUUGAUUCAUCAGAUUUCCAAAGCAGCUUAGGCUGGAAAUCCUAACCUUGCUUCAGCUGAACCCAGCAUAGACCUUUAACUAGUUUCUUGGCAAAAUUAUUGAAAUAGAGAAUUUUAAUCUAUCUUUCCUGUUCCAAAGGCACAGAAUCGUGUCAAAUAAAACAUAGCCUGUACCCCCAAGAGAGGAUAAAUUAAACUGAACUUAGAAAUAAGAGUUGCAAGGAGGAAGACAUGCUCUGCUAGGAAGACGGUUCCUCGUCGGCCACCGAUCCAGCGCGAGCAGUGAGCGCAGCUCCGCUGCAGCCGGGAGAAGUAAAGCAGCAGCCACACGCCGCAUCCAAGCUGGCAAGCUCUGCGGCGCAGCAGAGCUGGGGUGCGAUACUGCACUUACACCUGAACUCGUGUCUCUGCGUGGUGCUGUGCAGCUCUGCAGCUGAGACCAGCUGAGAUGUGUGCACCAGGCUGCCCUGCAGAGGCACAAACUUCUUCUGUCAUGCCACCCUUGUAUUCACAACCUCUUAUUUUCCUACCAAUCCUUUCAGAAAUUAGACUUUUAGGCAGGAUUUAAAUGUCAAGGGAACUUCUUCAGCAGGAAGAGAGUAUUGGCUGUAUGUUUCCAGGCCAAACUGGUGAGAACAGCUUCCAGCUAUGAACAGUAAGGUAGAAUCAUACAAUAUCCCGAGCUGGAAGGGACCCACGAGGAUCACUGAGUCCAACUCCUGGCUCCACACAGGACCACCCAAAAAUCAGACCCCUAUAUCUGAGAGUGUUGUCCAAAUGCUUCUUCAACUCCAGCAGCUCGGUGCUGUGACCACUGCCCCGGGGAGCCUGUCCCAGUGCCUGACCACCUCUGGGUGCAGAACUUUUCCCUAACACCCAGCCUGACCCUCCCCUGUUGCAGUUUCAUGCCACUACAGCUCAGCAAACGAUGAGGAUGCUUCCAAUAUUUGACCAGUCUUAAAUAAAUGACUAAAUCCAGGACAGACUCGCCAAAAUGCUUAUUUUACCAAGGGCUUUGAUUUCCCUCGUUGGGAAUGGCUGCAUUUUAACACCAUCUUAAAGAAAAGCAAAACUUGGAGCAAAACAAAGAAAAGAUUUCAUGACAUGAGCAAUGGCAGCCCAAGAGGAGAUCCUGGCAAAAAAGACACCCAAAGCUGGUUUGUGGUCUUGGCUUUUGCCACUACUCUCUGACCGCAGUAAACUCAAGUGUACAAAAGAUGACAAGGACAAUAAAAAUAUUUCGAAGUUUUAAAAGGUAAAUCCAAACACCUUAUAAAAGGCAAAGCACUUGACAAAUAAUGUGCGAUACAAACAGGCGGAUACCUUUGGAUACCUCAAUAGGUCUCCAACUUAAGCAAGGAGGAGGGACACAGCUCAGCCAACCUUUGGGCAACACCACUGGCUGUGUUAAGGAGAAGAGAGGAAACGAGGUUAUCCACGGAGGAAAAAUUAGCCUGCGAUUGUGUGGCAGCACAAUUCCACUUGGAAAAUGAAAUGGAAAGGGCCUGUUAAGGGAAUGAAGAUGAGAAGCACGUAUGAAGGGCGAGGGAGUGCAGAUCAGUAGGAAGGCAGCAUUGAGGUGAGAACAGAACUGUGUAGGUGAUUUCUUCUUACGUGGCAGGGUGACAAACCAGCUGGGUAGGUGACUAGUGUUUUUCUAACAGCCUCUCAGGUUUCUAACACCACUCAUUGCUUUCUCACAACUAUAACCCACAAUUAACUGAGGCAGUGGUGGAGAGCGAUUGAGAGAAAGGAUGCAGGGUGACGGGAACGAGACAGACUUGAUACAAAAGAAUGAACAGAGAGUACCUCAAAUGUACGGGUGCCAAUGUGUGCAGCCUGGGGAACGAACGGGAGGAACUAGAGCUCUUGUGUGGUUACUACAGCACUGUGGGAGUAGCAGACGUGGUGGGAGCAUGGUGAUGGAUGGACGCAAGCUCCUCAAAGAGCUCGAAGGAAGGGUGACAAGGAUGUGGGAGUGUAUUACAGAGCAGCAGAUCGGGGUGAUGAGGACAGACAAUCACUGGAACAGGUUGUCUGGAGAGGUUGCAGUUUCCACCCUCAGAAAUUUUCAAGACCUGACUAGGUAAGAGCCUGAGCAACCUGGCCUGAUCUCAGAGCAGACCCUGCUUGAGCGGGAGGCUGGACUAGAUCCAAAGGUCUCUUCCAACCUGAAUUAUGCUAGGAUCUAAAGUACAAAGGACGGAAUUUUUGAAAUUGAGGCAGAGGAACAGGGCAUCUGGUACCACCUACGAAGUCCCAAUUUUGCGGCUGUCUCGACCAAGAGCACCAUGCGCACGUCCUCACCCAGUAGCUGGCUGGAGACCAUGCCUUCAGAUCUGAUGAAGCCACAGAGGAAUGAUGGAGCAGUGGCAACUGCAGCAAAACCCACUCCUGCAGCUCUUGUGAGCAUCAAAUAUCUAGGAAAAAAAAAAAAAUCCCUGGCAACAAAUGUGACCUUGAAGUUAAUGUCCCAAAGAGCAUUUUCUCAGGGCAAGGAACUUUCAAACGUUUCCAGUUUCCCUACCCAGUUCAGAGUCAGGGAACAUGAGACUGCACUGAGAAGUACUCCCAGCGAGGGGAGGGGGCAGGGGGUUAAAAAUGUGUUUAAUUUACUGAUGUUCCUUACAUAUGUCCUCCAACAGCACUGCCUGACAAUGCAGCGUAUCAGCACCAAGCCUGAGAAGCUCAGAGUUACGGCCUCGCUCUCGCCGAGACAGUGUUUACAUCUCCCCAGACCACGGGAGCAAGCUCUCCAGUACAGACUGUCUCCAUCCUCCUCUCUUGACAAAUACCCAACCCUUCUUUCUACCGACAGAACCAUCCCGAUCGUCUCUAACCAUCUUCAGCGUGACAAGGCUGCUGCCCCCAGGAAAUCCGAAUCACACCGCCUCUCGGUUUGCUAAAAACACCCCCUCAAACCUCGGUCCCCUUCUCCGCCUGGUUCUCUUCCCACAGGUGGCUGUGCUGUCCUGCGUUGUGGCUGCGUUGUCCACGUUGUGGCUGGGAGAAGCUGACCGGCUGCUCUCCACCCCCACAAGGCAGCCUCCUCUACGAAAGUUGGCAGAGUAAGUCAGCCCUGCUGGCAGCAACUGCUCCUCAACUCCUCCGAGCGUGGGUUUCACUCAGCAGCUGGCACCCGGAGCUUGCAGAUACCUGGAAGGAUCACCUGUGCGUUUUCCUUGCUGCUGCAAUGCUUUGACUUCUGUCUUCUCUUUUCAGAACUUGGCCCGCGGCCACGACAGUUGUUCAGAGCUAUUCCCGAAAGGGACAGACAGUCUAAACAGAAACGUGAUGCUGAAAGGCUCUGUGUAUGCAUCGACCACGUCCUGCCCGGCCUUUUAAGGAACACCAAGCAGCCUGAACGCCUGUGCACGUUCGCAAAUGAAGCGUUUUGACCAAAGUCAUGUUUCAGAGUGGCUCAACUGUAUAAGCAAAUUGCAAAGUUUACUGGUAUUUGGGUACAAGCAUCCUGUGUCUGGGUGUUAAAAUUCUUAAAGUCUUUCUCAGCUACAUUAGAACGAAGGCUCCCAGCCCUUUCACCAGCCUUGUUGCCCUCCUGUGGAUGCCUUCCAGCACCUUAACAUCCUUUUUGUAUUGUGGAGCCCUGAACUGCACACAAUAUUCAAGGUGAGGCCGUGCCAGCAUUAAUUAUAGCAGGAAAAACACCUCUUUUGGCAGGCUGUCUUUACUGCAUCCCAAAACGCUGCUUGCCAACUUGGCUGCCAGGGCACGCUGCUGCCAACCAGCACCCCUGGUCCCCUCCUGCUGAGCUGCUCCCAGCCACUCAUCUCCCGGUGUGUACCUGCAUCCAGCAUUGCUCCGUCCCAGGUGCAGAACUUGGCAUUCUCAGUUGUUGAACUUCACACCAUUGCUGACUGCCCGAUGCUCCGAUGGAUCCAGGCACCUCUGCAAGGCCUCUCACCCCUCCCGGGAGUCAACAGCACCUCCCAGUUCAGUAUCAGCAGCACACUUGCUAGGGAUGCGCUCUAAUCCUGCAUCCUGAUCACUGAUAAAAGCGAACAGAACCGGUCCUAGAACCAAGCCCUGGGGAACGCUGCUAGGGACUGGCCAGCAGCCUGAUGCAGCCCCACUCACUGCAACCCUUUGAGCUCUCCCCUGGGGCCCAUUCAUCACCCAGCGUAGUGUGAAGCUGGUUGCCUCACAGCUGGACAAUUUGCCCAGGUUACUGUGAGGGACAGUACCAAAGGCCUUACUAAAAUCUAGAAGACAUCCACAGCCGUCCCUUCAUCCACCACGGGGGGGGGGGCGGGGGAGUGACCAUGGAAGGAGAUCAACUUGCUAAGGCAGGACUUUCCCCUGAUGCUCCCAUGUUGACUAUGCUUGAUAAUAGCUUUGUUCUUUAAAUGCCUUUCAACGUCCCCCUGGAAAAUCUUCUUAACUCUUCCAGGGACUGAGAUUAGACUAACAGCUCCACAGUUUCCUGGGUCUUCUCAGAUGUUCUUCUCUUGGCUACCUUUCAGCCAGCAGGGACUUCCCAGACUCACACCACCUUUGGUAAAUAUUGGAUGUUAUAGCUGGAACCCUCAACAAACUCCUUCAGUUCUCUGGGGUGAAUCCCAUCAGGCCCUCAGGACUGUGAACACUGAGCUGAUACAACUGUUCCCUCACAAUUUUGGUGACCACAGAUGGAAAAUCAUUGCUCCCCCCAGCUCAGGGGACCAGCAACCCAAGAUUUAUCAUUAAUAUUAAACAUCGAGACAAAAAUGCAUUACAUGCCUCCACCUUUUCCUCAUUCUGAGUUGAAGAUUUCUCCUAGUUGCCUAUGGAGUAACUCAUCUCUGCUACCAUCCUGGGCAGGUGAUCAAUAGCAGACACCCACGACCACAUCUGCUUUGCUAUUCUUUCCCAUAAUCCUCACCCAGAGGCUCUCCAGCACAUCAUCCCUAUGCGGAGAUCCCUGUGGUACCCAUUUUGUUUGGCUGGACAAAAGGAAACUUGCAAGUACUCAAGUACCACCCUAACCUUCAACAGCUUCAAAGCCUACGGCUCGGGUAACAGGAGAAAAUUUAUUUAGGUUCUCUACAGGUCAAGGUAGCAAUGGACUGCUUACCACGCCAGUGCCAAGCUUGAUAUCAAAAGGUUUUGUUAGCACCAGUAACAAGUUACAACAAACUUCAUUCCAGCCUCCAAGAAGUUGUUCAUACAGUAGCACAAGGAUUUAAGUAGAAAGCUAAGUUUGAACUCCAAUGCCCAAAGCAGUUAAUACGAGAAUUAAUUCCUGUGACUAAGAUAAAAACUGUUAAAAUCAUUUGAUAAAAUGUUUAUGAACAUGAAAUGGACAGGUAUGAAUAUUAUUUUAAAGUCCAAAUAAAUUAACAUCACAUUGAUCUGUAAGAGGGUCUUCAGGCUAUUCCAGGUCUAAUUGAUUAGAUUGCUAACUGCUGAACAGUGCUUCUCCCCGCCCAGUGGUAUUUUACAAAUACUUCGUAAUUACAUGUUACUGCCCAAAUUAUUUCUGAUAAACAUACCUCUGGGAAAAGAGAACACACUCUUUAACUGCUAAUACCAACAUACCAGUUCAGACUACGCCAACAGAAAGUCCACACAAAAUCAUAUACCACUAGUAAAUUAAAGAAUCUAAAUAUAUUGAUGUUUAUGAGUACUGUUUCUUGUUCAAUAUUGCAUCUGUAUGAUAAUAUCUGAGUUACAGUAACCUCUUGCACAGAAUUUCUUUAAAGAGUUCUUUUUAAAGUUCUGUUUUAACAAACAGCAGUCUGUAAGUUGUUCUCAUCAUGCCUGCCAUUUAGUUUUAAUGGAUGAGUGGCUCCCAAACCGGACAGGUAGAAUACUCCCAAAUCUACCUGGAAAAAAUCUGACAUUUGAGUACUCUCUCUCCAUUUCUCUUUCUGUCUUCCUUCCUUCCAGCCCUCUCCAUCUUCCUCCAAAAACACUCUUUUAUGGUGAAAGCACAGAGAACUCAAUGCUUUCUUUAAGCCACCAAUAAACAUUUCUCACUGGUUUAGCUGAUCUGGAAGAGGUACAGUCAGUACUCUCCUGAAUAUAUGAAAAAUAAGGCAAGACUGGGGACAGGACUCAAACCUGUUACAUGACUCCCUGUGGAUCUCUGCAAAGAGCAGAGAGAUACAGAGAUCAUGAGAGGAAGGCUUUGGUGUUGCCUAGUAGGCAACAACUUUGAGGGGAGUGAUUAGGCAAGAAGAGCUCCUACUGGAACCUGAAAUACGGGCUUAAAGCGAAGCUGAAGGCAAAACGAGAAACAUGAGCACAUAUGAGUGAGACCCAGUCCUA
Long non-coding RNA from Cygnus olor (mute swan), 7456 nucleotides. RefSeq lists it as uncharacterized. The record is from RefSeq and is a predicted model, not a curated record. The transcript is spliced from 3 exons. NCBI's taxonomy places the organism in Eukaryota, Metazoa, Chordata, Aves, Anseriformes, Anatidae.